Molecule: ribosomal RNA, 1346 nt
Filed under: uncultured bacterium
Lineage: Bacteria
Description: partial 16S ribosomal RNA
Rfam family: Bacterial small subunit ribosomal RNA
Source: RNAcentral
GACGAACGCUGGCGGCGUGCUUAACACAUGCAAGUCGAACGGAAAGGCCCUGCUUUUGUGGGGUGCUCGAGUGGCGAACGGGUGAGUAACACGUGAGUAACCUGCCCUUGACUUUGGGAUAACUUCAGGAAACUGGGGCUAAUACCGGAUAGGAGCUCCUGCUGCAUGGUGGGGGUUGGAAAGUUUCGGCGGUUGGGGAUGGACUCGCGGCUUAUCAGCUUGUUGGUGGGGUAGUGGCUUACCAAGGCUUUGACGGGUAGCCGGCCUGAGAGGGUGACCGGCCACAUUGGGACUGAGAUACGGCCCAGACUCCUACGGGAGGCAGCAGUGGGGAAUAUUGCACAAUGGGCGGGAGCCUGAUGCAGCAACGCCGCGUGCGGGAUGACGGCCUUCGGGUUGUAAACCGCUUUCGCCUGUGACGAAGCGUGAGUGACGGUAAUGGGUAAAGAAGCACCGGCUAACUACGUGCCAGCAGCCGCGGUGAUACGUAGGGUGCGAGCGUUGUCCGGAUUUAUUGGGCGUAAAGGGCUCGUAGGUGGUUGAUCGCGUCGGAAGUGUAAUCUUGGGGCUUAACCCUGAGCGUGCUUUCGAUACGGGUUGACUUGAGGAAGGUAGGGGAGAAUGGAAUUCCUGGUGGAGCGGUGGAAUGCGCAGAUAUCAGGAGGAACACCAGUGGCGAAGGCGGUUCUCUGGGCCUUUCCUGACGCUGAGGAGCGAAAGCGUGGGGAGCGAACAGGCUUAGAUACCCUGGUAGUCCACGCUGUAAACGGUGGGUACUAGGUGUGGGGUCCAUUCCACGGGUUCCGUGCCGUAGCUAACGCUUUAAGUACCCCGCCUGGGGAGUACGGCCGCAAGGCUAAAACUCAAAGGAAUUGACGGGGCCCCGCACAAGCGGCGGAGCAUGCGGAUUAAUUCGAUGCAACGCGUAGAACCUUACCUGGGUUUGACAUGGAUCGGGAGUGCUCAGAGAUGGGUGUGCCUCUUUUGGGGUCGGUUCACAGGUGGUGCAUGGCUGUCGUCAGCUCGUGUCGUGAGAUGUUGGGUUAAGUCCCGCAACGAGCGCAACCCUUGUUCACUGUUGCCAGCACGUUAUGGUGGGGACUCAGUGGAGACCGCCGGGGUCAACUCGGGGGAAGGUGGGGAUGACGUCAAGUCAUCAUGCCCCUUAUGUCCAGGGCUUCACGCAUGCUACAAUGGCUGGUACAGAGAGUGGCGAGCCUGUGAGGGUGAGCGAAUCUCGGAAAGCCGGUCUCAGUUCGGAUUGGGGUCUGCAACUCGACCUCAUGAAGUCGGAGUCGCUAGUAAUCGCAGAUCAGCAACGCUGCGGUGAAUACGUUCCCGGGGCU